This is a long non-coding RNA of Pongo pygmaeus (Bornean orangutan), 4596 nucleotides long. RefSeq lists it as uncharacterized. Lineage: Eukaryota; Metazoa; Chordata; Mammalia; Primates; Hominidae. The record is from RefSeq and is a predicted model, not a curated record. The transcript is spliced from 3 exons.
AUGAAGCCCCCCCACACCCUGUAUGGAUAGCUCAGAAUUGUGGAGUCCACCGUCCCUGCCCCAGAGUCAUGGUUUCCACCAGCACAGAGGCUGCUUUGGAGACAAUAGAUCAUUUUCUUCCCCUAAACCAAACACCUUCGCGCUCAACUGGCAUUAUUCCUAAAGCGGCUUCACUGGUCAGACUAAAGGGCCAUGGUAGCCCAAGUGAUGAGUGGAGUAGAAUGGAGAAGUCGGGAAGUAUCUUGUUCUUCAUAGAAAACUUGGCAACUUUGUGGUUUCUGAGCGAUCCCAGGAGGCUAAUCAUACAAAGACCUCUGGUCCCUGACCCCAGUCUGCCUCCACAUCCCUGGAAUCACAGGCCCUUCACCCUCAGCAGGUGGACACCUUUCAACCUGUUGGGGCAGAUAUGUUCCCAUUUCAUUGCAUUUGGCGACAACAGGAUUCUCUGUCCAGGUCCCACUGUUCUCAAGUCCUUGGGAAGGAGCCCACUCCUGCUUAGGGCCUGAGACUCCAGAGACCCGUGCAGGUUUGGGCCCCUGGGUCUGGCCCCUUUUCACCUGGGGGCAGUGGUGGAAUGGGGGUCAUGAGCCACCAGCAUCUGGGAGCCCGGCAGGAGUGGCUCAGGUGUUCUCCGAAGCUCUCAGGUACAGUGUCACCUUUGGAUGAUUUGUCUCGCACGAUGGACAUGGGAGAGAAUGUGGAUACCCUCCUGGCACAGGAGUGAGGGGACAUCAUUACCAAGUAGGAGCAGGUACAGUCGGUCUGCUCCCUGGACGGAGGCCUCUCCCAGUGUGCCCUGGUCAAAGGGUCCUGGGCUCCCCAGGAGCACAGAGUGGUGACAAGUUGACAACACCCCCAGGCCCUUGCACCUUUUACCUUGGAUGCCUCACCCUGGCUCCCUCUGGGCUUCAGGGAUGUGGAACUGGGCUGCCAGUGGACAUAGAGCCUGGACAUGUUAACAUCUACAAGAUCUCUGAUCACCUUGGGAUUCUGCAGUGAGUCCUCUGUGCGCCUCUCACCCUCUAAAGCACAAAUCUCAGGUCAGGGAUGGGUUUCGCUUUUAGAAAGGUCUUUCUGAGGCAGGAUGUGUCUCCUCAGCUUGGGCCUACCUCUUUUCUAGGGUAGAACUCCUCCCGGGCUCCCCUGCAGAUCCAGCCCGUGAUUGUUGUUAGGCCAGAGGUGCGUGGCCCAUCUAGGGAGUGUGGCUCAUCUAGGGAGCAGGUGGGAAUGGAGAGAGGGCUAGGUCAGGCUCCUGGGCUCUCAGCAGUUCUGUCUCCAAGUUAGCACAAGAGGAGGCAGGCAGCUUGAGGGUCUGGCCCUGUCCACUUGGACACUAUCCUAGUGAGAUCCAAGGGUUGUGGCCACAGGGUGUGGGGGCACCUGGUCCAGCCUUGGGGCAGCUGUCCAGCAGGUCUCUGAGGGCCCACCUGCCCUUCUUCUCCUCAUUCCCCUAGGGCCACGGCCCUCACUGUCCCCAUGCUCUUCCCCAUGGACCAUGCCAUGGUUCCCUCAAGGACCAUGCCCUUCCCCAUGGGGACAGUGAGGGCUGUGGGCCUAAGGGAAUGGGGCAGAAGAUGGUCAGGGUCCCCCAUUCUAGGCAUUCUGGCCAGGCGGGCAGCAGAACUUGUGGCUAAAGGCCCUGGGUCUGGUACUGGGAGGGCAUCUGGGGCCAGAUAAGAGGAGCCCAGCCUGGAGCCAAUCCCUUAGGGGUCACAGGAUGGAGAGACAGAGGACCCCGGGGGAGGUGGGAUGGGAGUAAGCCCAUGGGCUGUGCCACGUCAGAAAUGCACCCCAAUGGAGCUGAUGGUCUGGGGAGGACAAUAGAUGGGGUGGGACCGAAAACACCAGCUUACCUGGGACUCCUCAGCAGAGGGAGUCAGUCUGUCCCCAAGAUUCUACGUGGCUUUCCGGAGACUCUGCUUCCAGUUGGCUUGGACAGCACAAUGGACAGGGGGUGAUCGGGGGACUGACCUGGGGCAGGCAGGACAGUGGGGGAGAACGGCCAGGCAUCACAAGUUCCGGCUGCUGCAGUGUCUGGGAGGAGGCUGAGGCUGACAGCCAACAGCUCUGAUAGCCGGGUGAGGCUGGAGGUGGGGCCGGGAGGCUGUCCUGGCAGUCUGUGGGGCCCUCGGUCACCCACGCCACCCCUGGCAUCUCUCGAGCAGGCAAGGCAGGCAUGAGAACACAUCUGGGGAGUCUCACUCAGGGAUUCUGACAGGACCAGGGUCGAAGUACACCCAGGGUGGCUGGAGAGACAUUCACGUGCCUUUGGGUUGGACAGGAUGGCAGAAAUCGGGGAACAAGCAGGGUGUGUGGCUCAGGUGCAGGGAGAGGCAGGUGGACGACAGGAGGUCAUCCCCUGCGAGGACCUUGGGAUUGUUGGGUGGGAUGGGCCCCGGGUGCACCGGGCAGGUCUCAGGCCAGGCACCCUAGACCCCAGCAGGGUGAUGCGGUCACUCCCUGAGGGACUCCCAUCCGGGUGCGGCCACCCACCUGGGCAGCAGCCGUCCCAUCUCAGAGCUGAUAUUUUUCAGCUCCAGCAGAAAGCACCACCUCCAGUCUAGGAGGGGCAGCCCUAUUGUGCAGCCCAACCAUCGCCCCACACCAGGGGCCCCUAGUGGCCCUGGCCAGGCUGGCCCUGAACUCCGUCUUCUCCCAGGUCGUGGACCCUCCUGGGACUCAGCCCCACAAGGCCCUUGUCCUCUCUUCCCUGUGGCUUCUCCUGAGCUGAGACCUGGGGUGGAUGGGGACAGAGCCAGUCCUUUCUAGGGGUGGACUCCUGGACCGGAUGGCUCCAGGCCCUGUGCAGGUACUCAGCUCUGUCAGGUGCCUUACAGUGAGACAGAGCUGCCCCCAUCAAUGCCCUGGAGGUGAAGGUAAGAGCCUGUCCCCGAUGCUUGGAGAGCUGGUCUAGGGACAGGGGACUCAGCGGGUAGUCGGUGAGGCAGAGGAGGCAGUGGGCCUGGGUGGUGGUGGGUGGGAGCAACAUGCUGUCACUGGGAGGGGCAGCUGUCCCUGCUGGACCUGACCCCAAGUCUCUGUUUCUCUGGCAGUUUGCCGAAAUUUCAAAGUGAGAACAACAGUCGUGGCUUGGGGGUGGCUGCCCGCUUGUGUCAGGACCCCACCUAGAGGCCGUGACCUGACCUAAGACUGCAAAUGUGACAGGACAUGAGACACAUGGAAAAGUGGCUGAAGAUGCUGGGAGAAUGGCAGAAAUAUAGGAAGAGCAAGAAGAAGUGCUGACUGUGGGCUGACUGCCAUCUGGGGCAGGGGUCCUUCCAUCUGUUCUGAGGCUGCUUCCUCCUCCUGGCCAUGCCCUACAGGUCAUGAAGGAAAAGGGCAAGAGGUCCUCUGAAAACAUCCACCAGAUUGACCUGGAUGUGAGCCAGACACUGAGGAAUCACAUAGUAUUUAGGAAAUGAUAUGGCAUCAGGUAAAACUAUGGGAGACACAGGGUCCCAGCGGAGAUGAAGUGAACCAGAGGGAUGGAGACUUCCCAGGAGCAAAAACCAGGUUCACCCAGGAGGGAUGACGGAGCUGCCAAGGGCUCUCCUGGCCCAGGGAGCAGCCGGCACCAGGCACUGAGCACCUCCCAGGUUGCAAGCCCUGGGCCAGGCUAGAACAUGUGGGGCCAGAACCCAGGAGGAUCCUGAGGAGACAGAAGGCAGCAAACAAAAUCAUGCACAAUGGUGAAAAGUGCUCUCCCUGACCCACGGGGACCCAUGGGUUGGGGGCAGCAGGAUGGAGGGCUGGUGAACCUCCCCUGGCAACACUGACAGUACCAAAUGCUGGGGGCGGGGGGAUUCAGGGCCCCGGAGACUCUCAUCCGCAGCUGGUGGAAAUGUGACAUGAACAGCCACUUUGGAAGCCAGUUGGGCAUCGCUUGCAAAGUUCAGUGGACUCAAACCACACGUGCCCGAAAGGUCACAGACAUUGAACCAACUGAUUUGAAAACUGACAUCCACAUUGUAGAAAGCAAAAAGUUCCUCUUCAAAGUUUCCCUUCUUGUUAAAGAAUAAAUCAUAAGUGUUAGAAAUAACAGUUUCCUGUAAAGACUAACUUCCUUCCAGCCUCCUUGCUUUGUGCUAAUAGCUCUUUGUUAAGCCCUAUCCUAUGUAGCUGUUAGAUAUAAAGGAAUAAGUACAUUCUAUGCCCUUGUACUUUAAUCAAGAUUAUCUGUGCUGGACGUACUCACAGACAGGUCCCAGCUCGAAGCCUAUGCCCCUUCCUUAUUUGGGAAUGUUAUUACUUUUCUAAGUCUUUUCAUAAACAGCUUCCUCUUUUCCUUUGUUCUCCAUUGCUUUUACCUAGUUAGAGACAUUUUAAAUUAUUAGCCAGUCAGGUUUAGUUUAGAUUGUGUGGUCUGGCUCCAGCCAAUGGAGACAGGACACAGUAGCAGGGACAAGCUGCAUAAAGGAUAAAAAUUGCUUCCCUCCUUUAUUCAGGUGCACUCUCUCCAUUGUUCCAUCUGCAAGGAGCACCCUUUCUGCAGAAGGUAAAAUUGCCUUGCUGAGAAAACUUUUUGUCUAAAUGCUGAUGUUUCCUUGUGGUACUGAGGAACAAGCAUUCUGUUUCUAAAUAAACAUUUUACUUAUA